Molecule: ribosomal RNA, 368 nt
Filed under: uncultured bacterium
Lineage: Bacteria
Description: bacterial SSU rRNA
Rfam family: Bacterial small subunit ribosomal RNA
Source: RNAcentral
GGGGGGAGCAAGCGUUGUUCGGAAUCACUGGGCGUAAAGGGCGUGCAGGCGGUCAGGUAAGUGAGAUGUGAAAUGCCCCGGCUCACCCGGGGACCGGCAUCUCAUACUGCUUGGCUUGAGUACGGGAGAGGAUGUGGGAAUUCCUGGUGUAGCGGUGAAAUGCGUAGAUAUCAGGAGGAACACCGGUGGCGAAGGCGCACAUCUGGCCCGAUACUGACGCUGAGGCGCGAAAGCUAGGGGAGCAAACGGGAUUAGAUACCCCGGUAGUCCUAGCCGUAAACGGUGAUCACUAGGUGUUGGAGGCAUUGACCCCUCCAGUGCCGCAGCUAACGCAUUAAGUGAUCCGCCUGGGGAGUACGGCCGCAAGG